RNAcentral lists this ribosomal RNA (494 nucleotides) under uncultured bacterium. RNAcentral describes it as "partial 16S ribosomal RNA". It matches the Rfam family "Bacterial small subunit ribosomal RNA", at positions 28 to 507 of the family's 1533-position model. The record is from RNAcentral.
GACGAACGCUGGCGGCGUGCUUAACACAUGCAAGUCGAACGGAGAGGCCUGCUUUCCCUUGUGGAUUGCGGGUACUCGAGUGGCGAACGGGUGAGUAACACGUGAGUGAUCUGCCCCCAACUUGGGUAUAAGCCUGGGAAACUGGGUCUAAUUCCCGAUAGGACUGCAGGGUGGUGCCUGUGGUGGAAAUCGAUUUUCUAGUGGUUGGGGAUGAGCUCGCGGCCUAUCAGCUUGUUGGUGGGGUAAUGGCCUACCAAGGCGGCGACGGGUAGCCGGCCUGAGAGGGUGGACGGCCACAUUGGGACUGAGAUACGGCCCAGACUCCUACGGGAGGCAGCAGUGGGGAAUAUUGCACAAUGGGCGGAAGCCUGAUGCAGCGACGCCGCGUGGGGGAUGACGGCCUUCGGGUUGUAAACUCCUUUCGACCGCGAGGAAGCCACCUGGUUGGAAGGGUGGUGACGGUAGUGGUAGAAGAAGCACCGGCUAACUACGUG